UACGGAAGGUCCGGGCGUUAUCCGGAUUUAUUGGGUUUAAAGGGAGCGUAGGCCGGCUUUUAAGUCAGCUGUGAAAGUCCGCGGCUCAACCGUGGAAUUGCAGUUGAAACUGGAGGCCUUGAGUGCACACAGGGAUGCCGGAAUUCAUGGUGUAGCGGUGAAAUGCGUAGAUAUUAGGAGGAACACCAGUGGCGAAGGCGGCCUGCUGGGCUUUUACUGACGCUGAGGCUCGAAAGCAUGGGUAGCGAACAGG
This 253-nucleotide ribosomal RNA is filed under the name uncultured Prevotella sp. Its description in RNAcentral is "partial 16S ribosomal RNA". It matches the Rfam family "Bacterial small subunit ribosomal RNA", at positions 524 to 776 of the family's 1533-position model. Lineage: Bacteria; Pseudomonadati; Bacteroidota; Bacteroidia; Bacteroidales; Prevotellaceae. The record is from RNAcentral.